RNAcentral lists this ribosomal RNA (358 nucleotides) under Haptophyta environmental samples. RNAcentral describes it as "SSU rRNA". It matches the Rfam family "Eukaryotic small subunit ribosomal RNA", at positions 595 to 957 of the family's 1831-position model. The record is from RNAcentral. Lineage: Eukaryota; Haptophyta.
UAGCGUAUAUUAAAGUUGUUGCAGUUAAAAAGCUCGUAGUCGGAUUUCGGGGCGGGGCGACCGGUCUGCCGAUGGGUAUGCACUGGUCGGCGCGUCCUUCCUUCCGGAGACCGUGCCUACUCUUAACUGAGCGGGGGCGGGAGACGGAUCGUUUACUUUGAAAAAAUCAGAGUGUUUCAAGCAGGCGUCUCGCCUUUGCAUGGAUUAGCAUGGGAUAAUGAAAUAGGACUUUGGUGCUAUUUUGUUGGUUUCGAACACCGAAGUAAUGAUGAGAAGGGACAGUCAGGGGCACUCGUAUUCCGCCGAGAGAGGUGAAAUUCUCAGACCAGCGGAAGACGAACCACUGCGAAAGCAUUUG